UUUUGGAGCUAUAUACUUACAAGGUCCUCCACUUCUCACCCAAUGACACAAAGUUUUCAUAGAGUUUUGGUCAAGUUGUCCACCUGCAUACUGAUCCUCUAGAAAGCAAUCAAGCUUUACGCUGGAAAAGUAUGACAUCCAUAUUCCACAUUGCGGGGAGACUUCAAUUAUGAACCUGCUAUUUAACGUGUGGCAUAUAUAAUCAAAUGGUGAAAAAGGAAUCAUUAUCCAUUCCUUUCUAGCUAGUAGAGUUAAAAUUAAGAAACAAGAGGAUUUUGUGAGCUAUCAGGAAUGGGAACUUGUAACUUUAGAUCCAGUAGGCUUUAACUGAGGAGUUCACAACGAUAUCUCUUGUUCGAAAAGAAUUCGAAAUGUAAUCGAGAGAUAACUUUGCAUGCCAAGACAGGUUGUUGCAUGUAAUGUGAGAGUGACACAAAACACGCGGGCACAAACUCCUGGCAAUAACAUAAUUGUUCUCAAUUUAAAAUAUUCUUCGCAUAUAAACAGCAGUUCAAGGGAAAGCAUAACAACAACAAUAAUAAUAAUAAUGUUUAUCCCUACUCAACCCAAAGGAAAAGAGGCC
Long non-coding RNA from Populus euphratica (Euphrates poplar), 583 nucleotides. RefSeq lists it as uncharacterized. The transcript is spliced from 2 exons. NCBI's taxonomy places the organism in Eukaryota, Viridiplantae, Streptophyta, Magnoliopsida, Malpighiales, Salicaceae. The record is from RefSeq and is a predicted model, not a curated record.